This 579-nucleotide ribosomal RNA is filed under the name Salmonella enterica subsp. enterica serovar Infantis. RNAcentral describes it as "partial 23S ribosomal RNA". It matches the Rfam family "Bacterial large subunit ribosomal RNA", at positions 2224 to 2802 of the family's 2925-position model. Lineage: Bacteria; Pseudomonadati; Pseudomonadota; Gammaproteobacteria; Enterobacterales; Enterobacteriaceae. The record is from RNAcentral. RNAcentral also lists the same sequence under 15 other names.
AACGUGGACCCGUAAUCCGGGUUGCGGACAGUGUCUGGUGGGUAGUUUGACUGGGGCGGUCUCCUCCUAAAGAGUAACGGAGGAGCACGAAGGUUGGCUAAUCCUGGUCGGACAUCAGGAGGUUAGUGCAAUGGCAUAAGCCAGCUUGACUGCGAGCGUGACGGCGCGAGCAGGUGCGAAAGCAGGUCAUAGUGAUCCGGUGGUUCUGAAUGGAAGGGCCAUCGCUCAACGGAUAAAAGGUACUCCGGGGAUAACAGGCUGAUACCGCCCAAGAGUUCAUAUCGACGGCGGUGUUUGGCACCUCGAUGUCGGCUCAUCACAUCCUGGGGCUGAAGUAGGUCCCAAGGGUAUGGCUGUUCGCCAUUUAAAGUGGUACGCGAGCUGGGUUUAGAACGUCGUGAGACAGUUCGGUCCCUAUCUGCCGUGGGCGCUGGAGAACUGAGGGGGGCUGCUCCUAGUACGAGAGGACCGGAGUGGACGCAUCACUGGUGUUCGGGUUGUCAUGCCAAUGGCACUGCCCGGUAGCUAAAUGCGGAAGAGAUAAGUGCUGAAAGCAUCUAAGCACGAAACUUGCCCCGA